ACAGAGGGUGCAAGCGUUGUUCGGAAUCAUUGGGCGUAAAGCGCACGUAGGCGGUCGUGUAAGUCAGAUGUGAAAGCCCUGGGCUCAACCCAGGAAGUGCAUCUGAUACUGCACGACUUGAGUCCCGGAGGGGGUGGUGGAAUUCCUGGUGUAGAGGGGAAAUUCGUAGAUAUCAGGAGGAAAACCGGUGGCGAAGGCGACCACCUGGACGGAGACUGACGCU
This 223-nucleotide ribosomal RNA is filed under the name uncultured prokaryote. Its description in RNAcentral is "partial 16S ribosomal RNA". It matches the Rfam family "Bacterial small subunit ribosomal RNA", at positions 525 to 747 of the family's 1533-position model. The record is from RNAcentral.